RNAcentral lists this ribosomal RNA (331 nucleotides) under Ancylus sp. E3.1. RNAcentral describes it as "partial 16S ribosomal RNA". RNAcentral also lists the same sequence under 4 other names. The record is from RNAcentral. Lineage: Eukaryota; Metazoa; Mollusca; Gastropoda; Ancylidae.
AAUUAUUUCUGCCCAGUGUAUAUAAUAUUAACGGCCGCAGUACUUUGACUGUGCUAAGGUAGCAUAAUCAAUUGGCUUUUAAUUUGAGUCUGGAAUGAAAGGAUUUAUGGGGAUUUACUGUUUCAAAUGUAUAAUAUUGAAUUUAUUAAAAAAGUGAAAAUACUUUUGUUUUUAAAAAAGACGAGAAGACCCUAAGAAUUUUUAGAAUAUAUUUAUACAAUUAUUUCUUUUUGUUGGGGCGACAAUUAAACAAUUAAACUUUAAUUAUUUUUUAAUCGGUUUUUUCAGUAAAAAAUAAAUUACCUUAGGGAUAACAGCAUAAUUUAAAAAA